CGGGGAUCCCGGGCAACUGCCGGCGGCACUCCUUGCGAUUUCCGCCGGAGGAAAGUCCGAACUCCGCAGAACAAUGCGCUUCCUAACGGGAAGGUGCCAAGCUCGGCGGCCUCGUGCCGCCGGGCGAGGCAACGGAAAGUGCAGCAGAAAGACACCGCCGAUGGCCCGUGCUUGCAUGGGAUCAGGUAAGGGUGAAAUGGUGGGGUAAGAGCCCACCGGCAGACGGGUGACCGUCUGGCUCGGUAAACCCCGCAUGGAGCAAGACCAAGCAGGGCGUUGGCUACCCUCGGGUGGCGGACGGCUGUUCGUCGUUCCUCGUCCCCAUACAGGGGCGAACAACGUCCGGGUAGGUCGCUUGAGGUCGAUGGCAACAUCGAUCCCAGAUAAAUGGUUGCCUCCCCCACCCCGGUGGGGAAGACAGAAUUCGGCUUACAGGGGUCUCCGUACU
This 448-nucleotide RNase P RNA is filed under the name Bacteroidota bacterium. Its description in RNAcentral is "Bacteroidetes bacterium (freshwater bacterium LH6-2 metagenome) RNase P RNA component class A". It matches the Rfam family "Bacterial RNase P class A". From Rfam's summary of the family: Ribonuclease P (RNase P) is a ubiquitous endoribonuclease, found in archaea, bacteria and eukarya as well as chloroplasts and mitochondria. The record is from RNAcentral. Lineage: Bacteria; Pseudomonadati; Bacteroidota.